GACGAACGCUGGCGGCGCGCUUAACACAUGCAAGUCGAACGGAAAGGCCUGCUUUCCCUUGUGGAUUGCGGGUACUCGAGUGGCGAACGGGUGAGUAACACGUGAGUGAUCUGCCCCCAACUUGGGUAUAAGCCUGGGAAACUGGGUCUAAUUCUCGAUAGGGCUGCAGGGUGGUGCCUGUGGUGGAAAACGAUUUUCUAGUGGUUGGGGAUGAGCUCGCGGCCUAUCAGCUUGUUGGUGGGGUAAUGGCCUACCAAGGCGGCGACGGGUACCCGGCCUGGGAGGGUGGGCGGCGACAUUGGCACGGAGAGACGGCCCCGACUGCUACGCUAGGCAGCCGGGGGGAGUACUGCACAAUGGGCGGGAGCCUGGUGCAGCGACGCAGCGUGCGGGAUGACGGGAUGGUGGUUGUGAGCGCCGUGGGACCGCGAGAACGCCACCUGGUUGGAAGGGUUGUGACGGUAGUGGUAGAAGAAGCACCGGCUAACUACGUG
This 494-nucleotide ribosomal RNA is filed under the name uncultured bacterium. Its description in RNAcentral is "partial 16S ribosomal RNA". It matches the Rfam family "Bacterial small subunit ribosomal RNA", at positions 28 to 507 of the family's 1533-position model. The record is from RNAcentral.